RNAcentral lists this long non-coding RNA (15854 nucleotides) under Gallus gallus (chicken). The record is from RNAcentral. Lineage: Eukaryota; Metazoa; Chordata; Aves; Galliformes; Phasianidae.
AUAUAUUUAAACCCUUCUCCUCCUCCAAAGGAACUGUUAAUGACUUUCAGUCUGUGAGCUCCAUUUUGCUGGUCAUAAACUUCCUUUAUGAUGGUGAGCAGCACUGUUUUUGUUUACUUGGGAGAAACUGCAGCAGAGGGACAGAAAUGGGGAAUGAUUCAUCCGGGUUCUGUCAGUGAUGUGGUUACUGUGCCUUGUUGUUUCCUAACGGCUCGAACCUUACUGGUGUAAAGCUUGGCUCAGAGGUGUGACCUCAAGGAGUGUGUCCUUGUGCAGUAUUAAAAAACAACAAAUACUUUGAGUAAAACAAACAAAAAAACCCCUCAACUUCACAUUGAGCUCUUUCUCCUCCGUUGUCUUGAAAGGAGACGCUGACAUUUUUUCAUUUCCCCAGCCUCUCCUUUGGCUCUGGUGGUUUGGUUGGACAGCCUGCUAAACUUGUUCAACAGCUGUGAGAAGCUCUAGCAGCCAGACGAGGACCAGAAGUACAUAAGGUACAUGAUAGAUCACAGCAGACACGUUUGACCUUUGCUGAUAGAGUAACUGCUGAUUGUUCAGUCUUAAUAUAUAGCUUUAAUGUGUUUUUUUUUUUCCCCAUUUAAUUAUAUAAAGCUUUCUAGCUUUUUUAGGUCUGCCAGUGUUUAAUAUUGAUCCUUCUAGAGGUAGGAAUGGUGCUCCCCAAAGCAAUAGGUGGUGACAGGUAUACCAGCUGAAGAUCUACAAGUUGCCGUGGCUGCCCUAAGACUUCCACAGUUUGCACUGGCUGCGCUCACACAGGUGGUAGCACUUGAGUUUGCUUCUGUGAAGGGCAGAACCUGAGGGUGGGUUCUGCCUCCACCAGAGCUCUCUGUUGCUGCACUGCCACAGCCUGAAGGUUCUCUGCUCUAUUUGCCACAGGAGAUGGCAUCUUGGGCACACCGAUCCUUCCUCCCUCUAGCUUAGCAGACAGGCUCAGAAACUGCAAGAAGGUAAGAAGCUGGUGGGCUAUGCAUUGUGAGAAAUGAUUAGAAAACCGAAAUCCAAACCCCACCUGAUGGUGUCCAGAGGAAACCCUGUGGUGCUGGUUCCCAUUCAGCCUGCGUUGGUAGGCAGCACGUGUUUGCCAGUACACCUAAAGGCUUGGAGGAAUGUGUGAUAACAAGGGCGGGACGUCCAGCUUCUUAAUAACUAUGUUUUCUAAAAGUCUGUGGAUGGCACACAUUUGUUAUUAGUUUGGCAUGCUUAAAGAUAAGUAUGGUUCAGCUAAAUUUGGCUGGGAAUGGGAGGGAAUAAAUAAAGAGGUUUUAAAAUGAGGGGAGUCUGCCUGAAUGUGAUCUCAUGGGUGGGGUACAGUGAGCGGUGGCUUAGUGUUUUGAAAGCAUUGUGAAGUCUGACCAGGGGAGUGAUCGAUCUUUGGUGCCAGCUGGAUGUUUAGCAGAUGGACAGGUAGUUACAUUUCAUUUGUCUGGAGAACUUAGUCACAGGAGGUGACUAUGGACAGUACAGGGGUGCUUAUAGACGGUUGCUCUUCUGAGGCCGGAUGUCUCCAGAUGCUUUUGCUGUUCCAGCAGCCCCUAUGGGUACUGCUUCCCUGGCCGUGGAGCAGCAGAGCCUGUGGCACCGUCUUCUCUGUUGCACUGAGCUGCUGUUGGCUUAUGCAAAAUUCUGUAUAUUUUGAAUCUAACCCUUAUUUGCUCUAGUUUGAAGAUAAUAAGAAUGCUGAUCUUUUCUUUACACUUGCAAGUUAUAGCAGAGUUCUGAGUGGAAUGGGUGAGUGUGCCCCCUUCCUUGCUGCUGGGGUUGUAGGGAAGUCAUGGUUUGUCACAUUAUAGCUGUGCUCGGCCAGACUGAGGCGGGGGGGAGCUGGCAGCACUACAAGUCGCGGCCUGCAGCUGGGUUCUGACAGCACUGAGUGAAUGCAGAGGCUCUGGAUGGCUCACUGUGAGCCACAGACAGAUGUCUGCCUGUUCUCAGGGCCUCUCCUUGCUGAAGGUCAGAUCUUUCCAGAAACUGGGUCAGGUAGGCUAAAACGUGGGUGGGAGAAACCAAGUCACUGACUGCUCAGUGGGAAAGGCGGAGUAAAAUUUACCUUGACUAUUCUACGCUUAUCCUCCUGCCCCCCAAAUCUGUGCUUUGUGAUGGAAUUUAAAGCAUGGUCAAUGACUGUAGCCUAAUAACAGAUUUGAGAAAUGUUUUUUUUUUCCUUGAAAUAACAUAAAUCUACAACAGUGGAAAGUGGACUUUUGUCUGUGCCCAUAUUCUGGGGCUAAAUACUUUAGUCAGUGAUUUGGGCCAUUGUUCUGCUAAAAUAACUCUGAAUUUAAUACUGGGUUAAAAAGAACUGGGCUGUACCAAAAUGUGAAUUGCGCUCCUAGCCAGAACUUGGCCCCAAGCGUGGAAAAAUGCCAUGGGAUCUCUGAACCACCCCACUGGUCCUUACACUUGGAAUGAUGUGCUGUUCCACAGGUCUCCCUUUGAAGUUAGCAGAGGAGUCAGGGAGGCUCCUUUGUAACCUAAUUAAAUCUGACCCUAAAUGGUCACUACCAAGGGAUAUCAACCAGGAUGGAACACUUGCAAAUAAUGGUAUUAAACUUAGAGAGGGAUGCACCUAGACCUAUUUCUAAAGAAAAAUCUGAAGCUGCUCUGUGUAAUCAUUUUGGAAAUGUGGUGACUUCUGCACUGUAAAUCCAUUAUCCACUUAUUUCUAUAAAUCCAAUGCCAGCACAGGCUCUUCUGCGGGUAACCAUUAUACGGAAAUGAGCAAAUAUAUUUGUAGAUGAAUCUGUGGUUUUACAGCAAGAUUGAUCUACUCCCUCCCAUUCCAUCCAGUAUGAUUUAUAGUGGAACUUCACCAGAGUAACAUCUCGGGAAGAAUACUGAGAGCUACGAAACUCUCAUAGUGUGCUCUGACUCACUGGAGUGAUUGCUUUCAUGCUGCUGCUGAGUAAGUCAUGCAUUUAAAACAAAGACAAAGCUGAAGUUUCCCACUCUGGUGUUUGAUUCUGCUGGCUUGUUUUUUAACCUAUAAUUUUUUGUGUGUGUGAUUGUAUUUUGUCUGGUACAUGAACAUACAACUACUUUUCUUUAGGCUAACUCGUUGAUCUUGGUUAUCUUAGUAGUGGGAACAUGAAGAAAUAUAUUCUGUUUCUCAGUGGUUAGAAGCCUUGCUGAAUUGUGUUAGUGGUCACAAGUGCUGCUUCAGUUAAGGCAUACUGUGUACGUAGGUGCAGCUGAAAUGUGUUGUUCAAUACCUUUCUUCUUGGGCAACAACAAAGCUGAAUAGCCUACUUCAGCAUCAGGAAUCCAUUUCAAAAACUGAGAUAGCUGGGAUCUCUUUGAGCCAGUCUGUGUUCACCUAGUGCCACGGUUCCUAUUUAAAUCAACAAGCGCAAGAUAUUCUGACUGAAGGGAAAGAACAGAAUAUUUACUUGGCUUCAAGUAAAGGAAAAGGUUGCAUUUUCAAAAGGGGGCUCAGGCUGCUGAAUACUUACGUUUUUGUGAGGUUAGCCAUUCUUUUUUUGCUUCUAUGUGAUGAAACAGUAAAACAAAGAUUGAGUUGAAUACUUAUUUGCUUCCCAUGAUUUUGAUCGUGGAAGUUUCUUAGGACUUAAACCAGUUUGUCUGCUGCUCAGGUUUGCGUUGCAGGAACCUCUGAUGAAGCUACAGAAAGCAGGUAUCCAGGAAACCCUUUCAAGUAGUCUGCGUGCUAAGCUUCAAAUUCAUCUCUGUAACCGUAUCUGUUUACUUUUUCCUUUUAGAACAAUAUCUCCUGUAAGAUAGUCACCUUACUUCCUUCUAAAAAGAUGGGAGUGGUAGAUGGGUACUUCAUAUUUCGACUUAUGCAUGCAUGCUUGCAGCUUUUAUUCUUCCUUUCAUUGACUCUCUCAAGAUUUGGCACAAUAAGAGCAUUAUGUAAGACUAAAUCAUUCUCACAUAAUUUUGAGUGAAUGCCUUUCAUGAAGUACUGGGUGCCCAUCAUGACUGUAAGUAAAAAUGAAUCAUUUCCUUUUUAAAUGGAAGUUUUAAAGCUAACAUUUUAUGUAGUUAAUUGCCACAAGCCAAAAUAACCUUUUGAGCUCUCUGAAUUUUCACAGCUGCUAACUGGAGGAAACAACCCACACUGAUGGAACAGAAACUUAAGCAUUUCUAAGAAAUUAUUCCCCACUCCAGCUUCCUCUUUUAGCAUAAUGCCCAGCUCACUUUUGCUACGCCAUUAGCACUUCUCUGUAGAGAAAAACCUGAGUAUCAUCUAAAGGACAGAAUUACGAAGAAUAAAGCAAGGACAGUAUGAAUGCAAAGAUGACCCUUCAAAAGCACAGAGAGCAGUUAACAGCUCAGUCAACAUAGGUGACUACACUGUUACUAGAAGCCAGCAGACUGAGUAGGUGCAAGGCUCCACAGUUCAGUAACGGAACUGUGAAGAGCUCUCUCUAUUUUCCAGUAGACAGGGAAAUUCAGGGAUGUAUGCUGUACAUGCUUUUAAGAUAAGAGAAUAAAUCUCUGUAUUACAAGGCAAGGUUAAUAUGUGAAAUAAGAAUCAGCAAAUAGAGAAUAGGAUCAAAACUGGGAGAUCUGUUGGAAAUACGGGACAGACAGUGCAGGGAAAGACAAGAGGCUAUAGAAACAGCUGGGGCUGCAGGCAUGAAACCCAGGUAUGCUGGAGGAGAAUUUUUUUGGUCUGUCACACUCUUCCACUGUAGGGUAGUUAUUGCCUGCUACAAGAGUGAGGUCCUUGCUUCAAGCAAGACACACAAGAGCAGGAGUGCAGGGCCUGGUGCUGGAGGAAGCUUGUGUGAAAACAGCAGGCUGGCAGCAGGAAGACAUGGAAAGAAAGAGGGUGGGUGAAAAUCAGAAACUCACUGGGCAGUCAUGGUAAGGAGGAGGAGAUAGGAAAUACUGAGAGAGAAGCAGAGAGAAAUAUUUGCUAAAUAUCAAAUGAAGCGAACAGUCCUUCUGGUGAGUGGUAGAGAGGAUCUGGCAAGGACACAGCUAAAAUAUUCUGUUGAAAAUAGCACAGUAAAUCAUCAAUGCAGGAACAAAAAUUCAUUUUUGGCUAACGUAGGAACAGAAGUGUGGGAUACAGUCAAUAUUUUAAAAGACCAGUGGAUGGCAGCAUAUUUUUGCUACGGUUGUCACGCCAUAUGUUCUGGUUGCAGCUCAUAUGCUGACUUGAGCAUCGCAUGUCAGACACAACAUGGAUUUAUUCUUGGGACAAGUUAGUACCAGCUGCAAAGAUCUGUGCUUUUUUUUUGGUAGAGUUUGAAUUUGGUUUGGCAGAGGCAGCAGUAACCGCUCUUGUAGCUGUCCCAGUGCUGAAUCAUGUGGGAGAUGGGCAAUGUGUUUCACUGCUACCUUUGUAAUGGAUAGGAGUGGAACAUAAAAGAAAGAGGAUGAUAUCAUGACUAAGCGGUACCCACCUUCUAAAAGUUUAUAGGGAUGUUUCAGAGAACAAAAACUCAGAAAGCCAGGCCUACAGAAUCACCCUCAGAGCAUCGAAUCCUGCUGGUUUAGUGUGAGUUGGGUCUCUAGAUUAUUAUUCUGGUUCUGCUAUGAAGCUGAUAAUUUCUUCCACAAGUUUUGGGGUGUAAACUGUAAAGAAAAUAAAUCUCUUGAGAUAUAAAGUUAUAUAUGAAGAAUAAAAUUGGGUACCAAUUCAGGCUAUGGUCUAACACCCAUCCAUCCAAAAACUGGUGAGCAUGAAGUAGUUAAAGGAUUAAACUGAAAAGUAAAAAAGCACUAUUCUUGCUUGUUGUAUUUAUUUGCUCUAAGUGGGGGGGGAAAAGCUGACAAGUCAUAAGAGAUUUGUCUGUGCAUGUAAAUUGCAAAUGAGAAAGAAAAGCAUUUUAAAAGAGCAGUUUAUAAAUUUAUUUGAUAGAGAGAAUCCCAAUAAAUUUGUGAACUACAUACUCAUGGUCAACAAUACUUCUAAAAAAGAGAGAUUGCAAAUACAAAAAAGAAGAGGGUGUUAGCAGUCAAGGUUCUCUGGGAGAUGUUACAUUGCUUUUGGUUGUGAAAUGUUUACAAAGAGCAGCACAGAAGAACAUGGUAACCAUUUCAAUUAUCUGAAGCUUUUAAAUUUAAAGGGUGUUUGUAUAAAAAAAAAUGGUCCAAUUAUAACAAAAUUAUAUUUGCACAACGAAGUUGGAAACAAAGCAUUUUGUUAGUGAUAAAUGCACCAAGAACUGAAAUAUAAGACAAGCUCUUUUGUUUGUCAAUUUGUCAGAUGUGUUCUGAAGCUUCCCUUCCAAUUACAAGCUGUUUAGUACAGCACAAAAGGUAUUUUAAAAUUAACAUAGAAACUGGAAUGUUUUUUCAAUUGUAGCACAUUUCAUCUGAGAUGAUUACCAUGAAAAGACCUGAAAAGGGAACACAAAAGCAAUGAUUUAUAGACGCUCUAAUUUUUCACUUAGAAACUCUUCCACGCUGUCUGUAUUCCACUUGAGGAUGCUCAGUUCUUCUGCAAUGUUCCCACUGUCGUCCAGCAGCUUCAGUACAGGGUCAGAACCACGCACGUACUGCAGAAAGAAACAAGUCAGUUCCAUUGGGCUAGAAAAUGCAUUCUCCGUUUUAAAUCCCUUCUCAAUUUAUUUUCAUCAGUUAAAGAUGUCAAAUCAGGAAGAGAAAUAAGCUCAAAGAUUAAUGCCAUGAAGUAUGAAUACUUAAACCCAGAGUGCUAAAUGAAAUUGGGGUAUUUGAGAAAAUGUAGGCAAGAUAACUUAUGCUAUGAAACCCAACUCAGCUUAGGAAAAAUCAAAACAACCCAUUCUUAAGCUUGGUUGUUCCUCAUAAUGUUUACUUAAUGCUAUAAGUAUUUCAGUGCCAUGUGUUUUGUUCUGCAUUUACGAAUGUUGUUGAUAGAAUGUUUACCAGCAAUAUAUUCUGCUUUUCUUGAAGAAAAUAUCUACAUAAAUCAGAUUAAGCUUAUGAGAUCCUUUCGCUUGUUCUCUCCUACAUUGCUGUUGCCUCCUCUGUCCAAACGUAAAGGAGCAGACACAAAGGAAGAGCAAGGGGAGGCAUCCAGGUUAAAGCUGUAGUGACGUAAAUGCUGCAGGCUGUACACCCCCUGGCAGCAAUGGAUACAGUGCAUGGGCAGAAAGACAGCGCCAUAAGGCUUGCAUGGAAAGAAGGUAUUCUGUUUUACUGUUGUGAGCUCCUCAAGUUUGAUUUUUGAGUCAAAGCAGAUGAAUGAUUCUUCUUCUCAUACAGUCAAUAGACUUUUUUUAAACAACUUUAGAAUUUUCUGGUCAAACAGUGCAAAGGUUUACUAUCAAUUUUUGAUGUAAUUAAUUUCUUGCCUACUACUGUGCUCUAUUUGUGCCUACUGUGUUUUGCAGGUAGUGCUGGUAAUGCUUCUAAAAACUGAGUGAAUCCUAAAAUACGUGAUGUAAAUAAGAGCUUUUAGCAGUACUGUAAGGAUGUAGCCAUGUAAGGUUACAGAGGAAUUUUUACUAGGGGUGUUUUACUUUACCCUAUUACACAGCUAACCUAGUUGGCUAGGUAGGUUAAUGAAGCUAGCAGCAUCUCUAAUUGGUUUUCCCAAAGUCUUGUAAAAUAAAUACCAGAUUCAUUUGUACAUUUUUUUCCCAAUAAUGUUUUAUACCAAUUGUAGUAUGGACUGAUUUAAUGUUCAGUACAGCUACAAAGUUUAAAAUAAGAAUGAAACAUUCAGAUGUACAGGAGAGAAUGCUUUUGAAAGAAACUGGAGGACAUGAAUACAUGAGACAGAAGAAACCUGCCUGAGAUGGAAUCUGCUGCUGAGAAGACAAAUUGCUUAUUUCAGCUGUGCAUAACUAUGAAGUGACUCCAGAUGGAGCCAUUUGGUGAAUAGAGAUGAGAGCACAAAGAUGUGAGAAUCAAGAGGUAUAUCUGUGAAGUACACUGCAAGUUCACAUAGGAUUUUAAGUUUUACACUAGAAUUUGAAAGCAAAGAAUUGCUUGUGCUUAAGGCAGUGUGGCUUAUGCAGCUUUGCCUAUACGUAAGUGAUAGGAAACACCAUUCAGUGUAUGCAGUUCUUUAAAGCUGGAUGUUUGAAGGCUGAAGUAAAACAGAAUCAAAACAUACUGAGGAAGAUGUGAGAAAGGAAAAAUAUCCAAGAAUCUCUGAAUGUAUGGAAAUGGCAGCUGCAUUAGAAAAUGAAGAACAAAUCGAGAGAAAAGGAAUUGAAGGCAUGGCAGAAGCAGCUCAAGUAAACACGAGAUAUCCACAGCAUCAGGUCAGAAUGCAAGCAUUCCUCGCAUUCUUUAAACAUCUGCUUUUACUUAAGGGUUUCAGUGUACCUUUUAUUGGAUUUAAACAAAAUAACAAACAACUCCUCAGGCCCCAGUAACAACAAAGGUUCGGUACCACUGCUUAGCAAUAACCCAAUUAGCAUUAGCUGCAAAAACUUGGAAAGAUUUAUACUGGCAAUGAAAGUACAUCUUCUCCUGAAGGAUUAUUUCAUCAGCAAAUAAGGAUGCUCCAUAAAAGGGCUGUUUCCACCAGGUUUAAUUCUUCUUAAUAUAUGCUUCCCCUGACCCCAAGAAAACACAGAAACCCUUUGGUUAUUACUUACCUUGAUUUGCAGUCCCCUGAAGAGCUUAGGCUUGUCACUCCUGACAAAAGCUAUAAUAUGGAGAAAAAAAGAGAGUCAAGCUUUCCCAUGGAAAGAGGCUUUACAAAUUAAUGGCAGAAUUCUCAGUAUCUUCACAAAAGCAUUAGUACUAAACAGUAUGCCUAAGGAAAACUAUUUUUACCAGUGUUCCAAACCAGCUUGGAUUUUCCUUGGACAGCAGUGCAACUGCGUGAGUCAGUUCAUCUGCAUGGACAACUGACAGUCCUCAGCAGAGCCACGCAUACAGGGCUGUAUAUGCAGAUGUGAAGGAAGUUGUUGAAAUUGAGCAGUCAAAUUCUGGCUGGAGAUGAGCUCUGUGAGGGAGGAUACACGUGAAACAAACGCCCUCGGCGCACUGCACAGGAGUGGCAGCAGUGCUGGUGAAAGGGCACCAAGGAAACUGUGGGUAGAGGUGUUAUUCUUGCACACAAGACAAACAAUUUUGUCUUACAGAGCUCUCCAAGGUUACGUACUGAAAACCAGCAUGGAAGCAAGAAGAGGAAACAAGAAGAAAAGCCGCUAUCUCCUCUUUUCUUGACACUCCUAAAGGCAAGCAGUCAGCUUCACCACGGGCUCUGUGACCUGCCAUGCAGCUCCACAGGGAGAUGGGCUGCUGCUGGACAGAUUCUUCACCUGAAGCGCCGGUCACACAGACAUGAGUGCUAACAGCCACACGGACCCUGUAUCUCUACAGCACUCCAUCCUUGGGUUAAUGUGAACUUUAAAAAGAAUAUUCACAGCAUGGCUUAUUUCGGGACAAAACAUGAGCGUAAUCCACUACUUCCAAACUCUUUAGCAUAAUGAAUAUAUGAGUUGCAAAAGUAUUUAAAAUUUAUUUAGAAAAUAGCUUAGUCUUCAUUUCCCAUUACACUCAGGUUACACUACAGGCUGAAUUUAGUAUCUGUAGUGACGUUAAGUGGAUUCAGGCAGCUCCUGUGGUAUGCCAGCAGUCUCCCCAAGGAUGAACACUGUCAGCAUGGAUUGACUCUCACGGAGGUGCUGGCUGCAUGUUAAAGCUGCCUUUUCAAGGUUAGACAACAAUGCAUCUCUUGCGAAUUGCAGUGCAUCCAGCUGGUGCAUGAAGAUGAGCGCAACCUCAGGACUAACGCCUCGUGCUGCCUCACAAAACGUAGUGCCUUCCUCAAUAAUUGUAAAGAUGUCCUCUGACAUCUUUAUACCUUUCUCUAUAUUACUGAAGACAGUUACCUCAACAUUUCCUCAGUACGUAUAUACAGAGCGACAUUUAUUUUCUCCAGUCUUCUACUGUGCUCCCGGUACAGAACAAAAUCGAAUACUCUGCUGGCUGCACCAACCACUGUGCAGCAUAAACAAGUUCAGAACAAAAUGGCAUAGUAAGCUGCUAGAGAGACUGAUAUCUGAAGAAGAAAGCUUGCUUCUCUUCUUUCUGGAGCACUUUAAUGUCACGUUGCAAGCUGUACGCACAGAACAAUUUCAAACAGCACUAAACCACCACUACUUUCUCACACAUUGGAGUUCAGCUCUGAUAUAAAUUCACACCGAGGCCAUUUUCAGACACUGUUUUCCUAUGCCCUCACGAGCUGUUAGUUUUCUGGGCUCUGCUAGCAAGAUACAAAAAAAGUGGCGAUGUUUCUCAAGUCCACAGUGAACUGAACUAUUACAUGGGGAUUUUUCCCUGCAAAUUGAAAAAACUGAAGCUGAAAUCACUGUGUAGGACUUAAUAUAAAAAAGGGGGUUUUAGGAAACAGUCGGUAUGUGGAGUCAAUUUUAUUGCAAAACUUAAGGAGAAGCAGUAAGAUGGCACAGUAAAAUGGAGUCUCAAACAGAUCUGGACUGUGGAACUCAGCUCUUUAAGAACAGCCUUUAGGGGUUUGCUCAGGCUGCAGCACUUUCAGCAGGUGUGAGGACUGGUUCACUGAGCGACAGAUAAAAGCUCACUUGGACAUGAGUGGUUGCUCGCUGGCUGCAGUGUUGGAGCAAACAAGCUGGUAAGAUGUGGAUAGAACUAGGUGAAAGAAGAAAGUAUUCUCUAGGUUGUGUUACAUUUUGUCACUUUAAAAGUAGCUAUUACACCUUUGUAUCAAUGUCAAAUGUCUAAAUCUUCUGAAAGCUGAAGCUGGACAGAGCAUUUUUCCUGAAAUUUCAGAUAGCUGGCACAAAAUCACUUUUUGUUAGUGGCAUAUUUAUUUCUAAUGCUCAUCAUAGUGACUUUCUGUAUUGGUCACUUGAAUUUCUAUGAUGCAACUAAGAAUAGCGUAAUAUAUAUAUUAUAAUUUCUACAUUCUCAAUUUUGGAAGCUAAAUUAAGAAACUAACAUACUGACAUGCGUUAAAAAUACAGAUUAUCCCAUCAAACCCCGCUUUUCCACAAAAUCAGGCUCUAAGUUGAAUACAUGGUCUUGGAAUAGAAUUGAUGGGCUCAGAAGUGAGAUGCAGCUCAGGCACACAUUGUGACACGCAGCUGCCAGCUUACUCCGAGAUACGGCGCACGCAGUCCCCCUUCUGCACUGCCCCAGCUCUUGCUAAGGCUGUUUGCACAUGUUUACACCACUGUUUAAUAGUCUGAUGCUUAAUACUAAAAUGCUGGAUAUCUUCCAACUUUCCACUGCCCAUAGCAGCUUCAGAAAUUACACACUGCAGAGAAAAAGUAUUUAAUACAGUUCAUUCAUGGGUGAGUGAGAAAGGCAUUUUCCACUUUGAUUUCUGCACGAUGAACUCUGAGUUUGGUGCCAUGACACUAUUUUUGGUGAAUUAAACACCAGACUGGAAGUCAGAGCUGUUCUACUGCCUGCCUUGUGACUGUCCUGUCACAUAACGUUAAGAAAAUCACUUCACCUUAUGCUGUUACAAAACACAUGCAAUACCAAAGCAUAUGCCUUCUGUUUGAAGGCAACCCUGAGGUGAGGCUGCACAGCAGACCUGACUGCCAUUCCGAUCAACUACAGCAAAAGGUCAGAUUGCGGAGCAGAAGACAGCCCACUGGCUUCUCCAAGGCAAUCUGCUGAGUGCACGAAAGGGAGAAAGGGAUCAGAUGCGUACAGACAUCUCAAAGCCUGUUGAGUGCCAAGCUGUUAGGCAAAGACAGGUCACACCUAGCAUCAAACAGUGCUUUUAAGGACCUAGGAGCAGCCUCUGCUUGUAUACAACACAAACCUACCGCUAUGGUCCCUUUGUUUCGACGGAGCUUUAAAGUGAAUCUGUUGGAAGUAAGACCUAGAAUCCUAAACAGAGAUUGCUAAAGAGCUGAAGAAUCACUCACAUCCAAACUGCAAGUCUAUGUAUUUGCUGGCAGACACUUGUGCUAUUCUCUCUGAAGCAGAACACAGCGGAGGAAAGCCUUCUGACCCCAAACGGGCACGACUUCACAUCGCAUCAUAGUAAGCUGCAGAUCAGUAUGUUUGGCGUAAGUUCUUUGUUAAAAGCCUUGACUAUCCACUUUUAAUAUAUUAAGGGCACGGUGCAGAUUACCAAGGAUAUCUAUCUAUUCAGAAAUACUUGUAUUAUUUAGUUUCCUGCUUUAAGAGAAAAUCUCCUUGAUCUGUAACUGGAAAAAUACAAAAUGUUAAGCUAAUCUAUUAAUACUUGAAUGAGAGUCAAUAUAUACAGCAGUAGAAUCUCACACUUAUCUUCAAACAACUAUGCACACAGACAAGUAUUCUCAACCGUGUCCAUCUCCACACACAUCAGAAGGAAUUUAACAGCCUCGGAUCAGAAAGGCCUGCAGGAGAUGAAAAAAAACUUACUGCUCUAUUAUAUCAGUUCCAGAUUUUAUUCCAGAAAAACACGACAGAGGUCCUAACUAGCUGUUAUCUUCAGCAUCAUGUCAGCAAUACAUUUUUACUGCACAUUUUUUCCUCCUGGUAAGCUACAGCGUGUCUUCUAGCAACAAUCUGAUGUAAGUAUCCUCCAGUAAUUCAAAAGUCCAUUUGUUCAAACUUCAAAUCCUUGUGCUACUUAAACUGUGCUUUCUGUUUUGAUUUAUUCCACUGCUUACCACUGUAACACUAUGAGCACCUUUCUAACUAUGUAUGUCCAUAUGGAUUCACCCAAGUUUUGAAACUCGACAUACUCUUCUUGGUUGAUGCUAUUUUUCUAGUCUCCAGAACCUUUAGCUAUUAAACUCUUAACACUGCAUACAGAUAAACAACUUUGCAUCACAGCUAAAAUACACUAAGGAUGCUGAUCACACACUAAAAAGCAGCAGCAUACUUUUGUGAUGAAGAUGAGGUCUAUCAGUUGAUCAGGGCAAAACAUUGCCAGUGCUCCAAGAGCAACACAGAAAGGAACACUUCCAUCACUAAGGAGGAAUGCUGCAAAAUUAGUAUCAAGAAUGAUCUGCUCCUAGAAAAAUAUUUCCAGUCUUUCUGGGAUGCAUUGAAAUGGGUCACAUAUUAAAAUACUAGCAAUAGGAAACACAAAAGACAUAACAUUUUAUCAAAUCAUGAUUCUGCAUGGUACUCUGUGCAACUCUGAGUGCAGUACAUACACCUGAUUUCUACAAUUCAGAAGUAAGAAACACUAAAUGUAUACAAGAAGUGUUACAGGGAAUAGCGGAUCUCUGAUUAUCACACAUGGGGUGUGCAACAUGAGAGCAGUAAUGAUAGAGACGUGCCUCAACCUGAAGGAUUUAUUUAGUUUGUAUGUUUGUAUAUAAUCUACUUACAAAAGAUUAUGAUAGAUGUUUCUCAUUAGAAUAUCCUACAUUGCUUAGCAAGAAUUUUACUGACUUUUCUGCAAAAAUCUAAGAUUUAAUAUUAUUCUAACUUUCAAAUUUCUGUCACCAGUACUUAAGAACUACUGAUAAAGGUAACAAGAAAAUAAGUGAUCUUACCUACAAGUACAGCCCCCUAACAAACUACAUUCUAGUAUCUGUAAGAAUCCCCCACAGCUGCAGAGCUUGAGCAAUACAGCAGAGUGCUUACUGACUCCCUGAAGCCAGAGGAUCUAAUGCAGUUGCAUGUUGCGUGAGUUCAAGGAUGAAGGACUUUCUCUAACAUCUGCUGGGAGCACAUUCAUUGUGUCACUACAAGUCACACAGCGAAAGGUCAGAAUUAUUCUCCUGAUGAACAAAAAGAAUGCCAAGAUGUGAAAGAAACGUUCAGUGAAAAAAGCCAGCCUAAUUCAGUUCAGCUAAACGCAGUGGAAAGAACAUAGGAGUGCAGAGAUUGUGAUCUUGUGUCUCAUCAUGAACAGAGCAGGGCUGCCACUGAAAAGUCAACUUCAAACAAAUAUAUUAGACCUACCCAAUUUUGUUUUCUACCUCGGAGCCUUAGUUUUAUGUCAGCCAAAAACUGUUUCAUUGUCUGUGCCAGCUGGUAGAAGAAGCUCUUGCUUCAUCUAAGAAUUCUGUCACUUAUGCUUUCAGUGUCCUACCUUGAUGGAAUGAUAAAUAUUUAAAAGCUGUUUUAUAAGGAGCAAUUUCAAAACAUACGUGGUAAAGGAAUUAUUUUUGUGGUAUAGCAUUUAUAAUGCAGCGUUUUCUUCUUACGGGAAACUGAGCAGGAAACAAUAUCUCAGAACUGAACAUACGACAGAGGUUUACAGGAAUGUAAGCUGUUAUCUGACUUAUCAUGAGCAGCUUUAUUUGAGAAAGAUAACAGGUAUCCUUGGCCACACUCACAAAAGCAUUCAGCAGGCUGUAAUGGUAUUACAAAGAAUAAUGCUAGCUAGAAGAGUACAUUCGACUGCUUUUUAAAAUUUUCUAAUUAUGCUUUUAAAUUGUAUCUUAUCAACCUGUUGCAAUAACCCUAGCAGCAAAUCUGAUCACAAGAGACUCAGAUUGGGCCACAGCAGAAACUGGUGAGGAAAAAGCCUGUUCAUCCCUUCUUUCUUUUCACCAUCCCAAAGAGAAAACUGGUUCAGAUUAACAAGGAUGGAAAGGCAAACUGUUAACAUUUCUAAGUUUUUCCUUUGUACCAAAAGCUUUUAGAGGAUGUUUUACAGUGCAUAUAGAGCAGUUGGGAAUAUUUUCAAGUGUGCUGAGUUUGAAUGGACAUGUGGAUAACACGGUUGCCUCUACUAAUACAAGUUUCCUCACGCCCCUAAGUAGCACAAGCAAUGUAAUUAGUUCUUGUUUUGGUGUUUUGAACAGCAGGAAAGAAUCUUUCCUCCAGCCUUGUGGUCAAUUAAUGGAACUGUGUGCAGGUAGGAGUGGGAGGAGGGGAGUCCAAAGCAGCAUAACUUAUGCUAACAGCAGCCUGGUUUUAAAUCCUUUUAUUUCUUGUUCUUUAGAGCACCUUCAAUUAAGGUAAUACUAAUACUGGCCAUGCUAGAUAGGAGAUGCACUUUUUGUACAUUUUUAUUUCUAAAGCUGUAUUAGUCCUUCUCUACAUCCAAGCGAUGCUAAGCACAGUAUUAGGAACUUCAUUACUGAAAAAGAGCACUGCAAUCUCUUUGUAUGGGAACUGCUGAGUCACGGCCCGAACCACUGAUUGAGCACCUGGGGAAAGGACCAGGUCAGCCCUGGGAGCACAGGUGAAGGCAAUUCCUGUGUGUGACAGGAAGGGGUGGAGCCCGGCUGCACCUCUCAUAGGCCUCACUGAAGGGCUAACCCCUGCUGGGGAAGGAUCUCUGGUUGGAGAUCUCUCCCCUGUGAAGUCCUUCCUUCACUCUGUGAGCUGAGAUCUUCAGAGACCGCUGAGCACCUUUCCUUUCCUUUUAUAAUACCCUCCCAUCCGUGCCAAUCUUUCUAGUUAUAACACUCCUAAGUUCCAUUCCUAAAAAAUUCCACGUUGAAAUUUCACACAGAUGUUUUUCCCACAGCUUCCUCCCACCACACACUGAUGAUACUCAUUUUCCUUCUCUAUUUUGUUCGCUUUAGCUGACUGUCAUUAUUCAGGAACAAAACAAUUACAAUGUAGCAUCUGUGGAAGGAAAGCAGUUCCCUAAGCAUGCUAUAUAAUUUCAUCUAUCAAUUACUGGAGUCUCAGGUCAGUGCAACUUUCCUGCUAUAAUAUGACUACUUGUAGUAGCAGUUAAAAGCACAUCUUGUCAUUUUGCUGUGACGGUAUUUUGUAUUUGAAAGAACUGUAGGUGGCUUUACUUACCCUGGACUUGAGGGAACCUUCCCAAUUUUCAUCCACAUACUUCUAGGACAGCUCCUGCAUAAAGCUGCAAUGACAGACAGAAGCUGUUAAUAAAAGUAUAAACUGCUUGUUUGCUUAUGGCAUGUAAUCUAUCAAUCUGAGCAUCAAUAUCAAUUCAUUAGAUUUGGUAUUGAAAUAUUUCAUCUAUUUCACUUUGAGAAGUGAGGUUGAGCUAACCUUGGUGCUUGCACUUAGACCUCAGCCACCUACGCAAGGUACCC